This 672-nucleotide long non-coding RNA is filed under the name Homo sapiens (human). RNAcentral's name for it is "non-protein coding lnc-TMEM132B-4:12". Lineage: Eukaryota; Metazoa; Chordata; Mammalia; Primates; Hominidae. The record is from RNAcentral.
CCAAUCACAUGAUCUCAACCUAACUGCAAGGGAUGCUGGGCAAUGUAGUCCAGUCAUGUGGCUAGCAGGAAAAUGCAGGGGGCUUGGUGAAAAUUUGCUCUAGGUCCCAGACUUGGCAAAUGAUACAAGAUUUAACUCACACAGUCCGGCUUCCAAGCCCACACUCUUAACCACUGUACUCUCAUUUUUAUUGGCCAGAGCCCAGUCACAUGACCCCAACUUAACUGCAAGGGAUGCUGGGCAAUAUAGUCCAGUAGUGUGGCUAGCAGGAAAAUUAAAGGGGUUUGGUGAAUCCAUUGCUCCUGCCAUCACCCAGAUUAAAGACCUGCCCUCUCAUCCGGCUGCCUGUUUUUCUUAUGUCCAGCAGUCAGGGAUUGAGUGGGCAAGCACUGUGGGCUGCAGACACCAAGCUCCACCAUGAUUCCCCCUCCACUCUCAGAGGCUCCAUCCAGCUGGCAGGCUCACAGCACUGCAGCCCAGCAUCUGAAGUGGAAAAUUGGAAUUACUAUCCUAGGCAAACUGGAAUUUAUUCUUCAAAAUUGUUGAAGUUAUCUCCUCAGUGGGAUGGUACUGUCCCUAGGCUGAUGACUGUCACAUUUUUAGUGGGGCCAAAACUUUCCUCCAAGAUUCAGAUGUGUGUCACCAACUAGAGAGCAGGCUUGGAAUUUAAAA